This 447-nucleotide ribosomal RNA is filed under the name uncultured bacterium. Its description in RNAcentral is "bacterial SSU rRNA". It matches the Rfam family "Bacterial small subunit ribosomal RNA", at positions 64 to 506 of the family's 1533-position model. The record is from RNAcentral.
GAGCGGAUGACGGGAGCUUGCUCCCGAAUUCAGCGGCGGACGGGUGAGUAAUGCCUAGGAAUCUGCCUGGUAGUGGGGGACAACGUCUCGAAAGGGACGCUAAUACCGCAUACGUCCUACGGGAGAAAGUGGGGGAUCUUCGGACCUCACGCUAUCAGAUGAGCCUAGGUCGGAUUAGCUAGUUGGUGAGGUAAUGGCUCACCAAGGCGACGAUCCGUAACUGGUCUGAGAGGAUGAUCAGUCACACUGGAACUGAGACACGGUCCAGACUCCUACGGGAGGCAGCAGUGGGGAAUAUUGGACAAUGGGCGAAAGCCUGAUCCAGCCAUGCCGCGUGUGUGAAGAAGGUCUUCGGAUUGUAAAGCACUUUAAGUUGGGAGGAAGGGCAUUAACCUAAUACGUUGAUGUUUUGACGUUACCGACAGAAUAAGCACCGGCUAACUCUGU